Molecule: long non-coding RNA, 2017 nt
Organism: Populus nigra (black poplar)
Lineage: Eukaryota; Viridiplantae; Streptophyta; Magnoliopsida; Malpighiales; Salicaceae
Exons: 2
Source: RefSeq, a predicted model, not a curated record
GUGGGAUAUCUGGUCUAGGGAGGAAAUGUGGAUAGGCUUGUCAAGUCAAUGGGAAGUUACGAGGCAUGCCAGCAACUCAUUUGGUUGUACAAGAUUCUGUUCAGAUCAACUCGAGAUAGAUUGAAUUCAUAGGUCGACCUAGAACUUGAACAAUAAUGGAUCAUGUUUGAGCCUGUAAUGGUUGUCAGCGUAUCUGAUUGUGAACACUUGCGGUUGAGGACUAUUGGAUAUUUCUUGUUGGACUACGUUAUGGUAUUUGGUUGUACUUGAAAAUGGAUUAGGACGGGUCAAUACAACAAAAUUCUUGUGUUACAAUUAAUUUGUGAAUCCCCAAAACUUUUGGUUUCACUAUGCUUUACCAGCCCAUUUCCAUGCUAUUUCAUGUUUCUUUAUAUCUGAUUUCUCAUGGUAUCAUUCUGGAUUGGAGUUUGAUGCUGUCAAACCAUAAGUCUUAAAACUUCAUGCUCUAAUUUGCCUAGUCUGGAGGCUGUCUGCUAUAUAAUUUUUCCCACUGUGAAAUCGAAGGCAUUAGAACUUGGAAGUAAACAAAAGUAUAAUUUUUUCAAUAAAUGCAUCCUUCACAAAUGGAAAUUUUGUAUGAGCUUUGAGGCUAUUGAGCCACCUUCAUUCUUAGAUUUAGAUGUUGGCAAUGCCUUUGUAUAUUUAGAAGUUCUUGGUUAUUAUUUCUAAGCAUUAUUGGUACUGGAAGGUAGUGCCUGUUCUGGAAACAUGACUAUCUUACGCAACAGGCUGAGCAGAUUAAGCAUGAAAGAAAAUCCACGCAACUAAUAAUUCUAGGUAAAUUCAAGAUAUUUCAUGCUGUGAAGAUGAUGAUUUAAGACUUGCUUUCUGUUUGACAUCAUGUGAUAUAGUUACAAGUUUAGAUAUUAUCAAGUUGGUGCUUUCAAUUGGCUAUGCUCGUUAAUGAGUGCUUAUUGCUAAUGAUAACUUUGGCAACGAAAUUUGUUAGGAAGGACCAUGUCAAGUGGUUUCGAUGUUAGUUCCGUUGCUUUUUGUGCCAAUCAUGUGGGAUGCCUAUUUUCAUUCGCAUGCUAUUUUUUUUUGGUGAAUAUUAUUAGCCUUUUGUUUUGGAAACCAAAUGAUAUCUCACUAAAAAUGAAUAAUUCAACUGGAAUUUGGAUUAAAGAGAACAAAAAAAGAUGAAGAGGCUUGAUUUGAUAAUUGUGGCGAUCAUACAAUGUCUGAUAUUACUUAUAGCAUCCAGCUUUUUAUGCCUUCCUCGGGUAGCUUUCCCUCUGGGAAUGAUGUUGAUGUGAAGAGGCUUUGGAUAGCACGGAAACAAUAGAGUGGAAAGCAUUUGCUGCUAUCCUUGACUUUAUCUGCCCUCUCUUUGGAAGUGGCCUGGUGCCCCUGGAAAUCUUGUCAAAUGCAGCAGCAGUAACAUCACGGACCUUGUUCAUUGUGUAUAUCAAGGACUUAGAAGUUUAUAUAGUGCAGCAACAACUCAUUGCAAUACCAGGUCCUGGAGAUUAUUGAUUAGGAGAGUGGAACAAUGUCUGUUGAUAAUGGUGAAGGGUUGGGAGGCAUGCCAGCCAAUUUGUCAGGCUGUACAAGAUUCCUUGUAGCUCAACUUGGGAGAUAUUGAUUUUCACAGUGUGGUUUGGUGACUGAUAGACUGAACAAAUGAUCCAUUGUUUAAUAUACAUGGUGAUAGCUCAGAGCAUAUCUGCCCAGGAACACGUGCGGCUUCCAGAGCUAUCUAGGAGCUUUUUGCUGGAUCUCGGGCAGGCUUCUAGACUUUUUGGUCAAUAAAACUUAUAGGGGGAUGGGAUGGGUACAACAUACACGUUUUACAAGGAAGGCAAGACUUGUUGGGUUGUUUUCAUUGUUUUUUGUCGGACAUAUAUUAGUUUAACUAGAAGCAAUUUGAACAAGCCUUGGGAAGCAAAACCUGUAUUGCUAUAAUGUUUCUGCCCAUGUUUUCAGGGAAACAACCUUUGAAAUUUCAAAAACUUAUAUUACUAAUGCAGGUCUAUCCACCAUCUUCUAUUGCAAA